AGGACGAACGCUGGCGGCGUGCUUAACACAUGCAAGUCGAACGGUGAUCCAUGGUGCUUGCAUUGUGGUGAUCAGUGGCGAACGGGUGAGUAACACGUGAGGAACCUGCCCCAGCUAAAAACUGGAAUAACCCCGGGAAACCGGAGCUAAUACCGGAUAUGACACCAGACCGCAUGGUCAUGGUGUGGAAAGUUUUUUCGGUCUGGGAUGGCCUCGCGGCCUAUCAGCUUGUUGGUGAGGUAGUGGCUCACCAAGGGCGACGACGGGU
RNAcentral lists this ribosomal RNA (268 nucleotides) under uncultured soil bacterium. RNAcentral describes it as "partial 16S ribosomal RNA". It matches the Rfam family "Bacterial small subunit ribosomal RNA", at positions 26 to 284 of the family's 1533-position model. The record is from RNAcentral.